AGUGAACGUUGGCGGCGUGGAUUAGGCAUGCAAGUCGAGCGAUCGUAGCAAUACGGGAGCGGCAAACGGGGUAGGAGUACAUCGGAACGUACCUUUUGGUUGAGAAUAGCGUUGGGAAACUGACGGUAAUACUCAAUAAAGUCGAGAGACCAAAGGUUUACUGCCGGAAGAGCGGCCGAUGCGAUAUUAGGUAGUUGGUGGGGUAAAGGCCUACCAAGCCAGAGAUGUCUAGGGGGUGUGAGAGCAUGGCCCCCACCACUGGGACUGAGAUACUGCCCAGACACCUACGGGUGGCUGCAGUCGAGGAUCUUCGUCAAUGGGCGAAAGCCUGAACGAGCGACGCCGCGUGCGGGAUGAAGGCCCUUGGGUUGUAAACCGCUGUCAGGGGGGAUGAAACCGUAAGGUUGACAGAGCCCCAGAGGAAGCACGGGCUAAGUUCGUG
Molecule: ribosomal RNA, 442 nt
Filed under: uncultured organism
Description: bacterial SSU rRNA
Rfam family: Bacterial small subunit ribosomal RNA
Source: RNAcentral